This 1932-nucleotide long non-coding RNA is filed under the name Malus domestica (apple). Its description in RNAcentral is "long non-coding RNA (MDOM_LNC001081)". The record is from RNAcentral. Lineage: Eukaryota; Viridiplantae; Streptophyta; Magnoliopsida; Rosales; Rosaceae.
CAAUUUUUAAUUGUUAUACAUAAAUUCUCUUAAUUAUUGGAAUCUAAUACAUAUAUUACUUUCCAUCCAUUUUUCCAUUAAAGUAUGUCAUGGGCCUCUCAUGUGGAAGGAUAUUUUUGUCACUUCACUUCCUAUAGAACGAUGAUCAUAUUAGAAUGUGUGAUUCAUUCAUAUGAUGUGACUUUUUUAUAAAAAAAAAAGAAGAAAAGAAAUUCUACACUAGCUAAUUUUUAUUUUAAUCACAUGAGGAAGUUAAACUUAAGAAAGAGUACAGUGGCUCUAAGUUCAAACUAAUUUAGCUAAAUUCAAAUUUGCGAUGACGUGAUGUGAUUUAUUGUGAUCGCCUCAACAUUUAUGUUAAUGGUUAUGAGGUCUGUGUUUCCUGAACUUGACAUGCCGACAUAGAAGAAACAGCUCCGCGUAAAAGCUUGGAAGGAGUUAUGCAUGCAUCAGUUAUGUUUGGCCUUUCGAGCACUCAUAACUCGUGGGGUAAUAUUACAAGGAAUUGGUCCCGGCCAUUUCGGCGCCGUGAGCGACUUGAUUUACACAGCCACUUGUCUUUUCUUGCUUUCUUUUCCAGCCGCGCCAUGUCUUGUAUUGUCUCAAUAAGGACUAUGAAAUCGAUGAUGCUGACAUGAUAUUAGAACUAUAGCUAAUUAGCAUCAUGCAUACUUUAUAUAUAUUUUUUUACUUGAAUCAUAAAAACAUUACAAAUUUAAUUGUCGAUGAAGAAUUUGAGUUAUGAUUGACCUUACUCUUUCAUUUAUUUUGUUGUAGCGUAUAGAAUUUGCUUUAAUAUUUUGAACAUAAGUACCUUUGGACUUUUUUUCAUGCCUAUUACUGUAAAAUUGAUAUCAUUUUCUUCAAUAAAACUUACAAUUCAUGAUAAAUUAGCUCUUAGUUUAACUCCUUGCCCUUUAUUUUCGCCCCUAAUGGAAAUUAAUAGGGUGAAAACUUUAUAUCGGCCUCAAAUCCACCACCCCUAAUAAUCACUAUUCUUUUAGUGUUCAAGGAGGUUAAGCUAGCACAUAGAUUUGGAUGUUGAAACCAUGGGACGGAGCAUGUUAAGCCUAAUAAUCAGGAUGAUUUAAUUUAUUAAUGAAUCUAGCCGACAGUUAACUGCUUCAAAUGAUCAGAGAAUAUGUCCAUAUGCCUGUCACAGUAUCAAGUGUUCAUCAAUCAUUAGGAAAGUCAGAUUGUUCAAAUUAAAAACUGUUCAUCUUACUAAAAACAGAAAAAUAGGGCAAGAUUUUUCAUUUAUUCAAUUUGGAUUGAUAGAGAUAAUUCAACUGCCAAAUAAUCUAAAAAUUAAUUAUACGAUAUAUUAUCCAUUUUCUUCUUAAAGUUUCCCUUUUGGAUGAUCAAUCAUUUUAUUAUGUUACGCAUCAGAUGUAUAUCUUCAAACUUCCAACAUAUUUUACAGACGAUUGUUGGUCAUAUACACCUCUUACGUAUGUUCAUAGUUCACACACACAUGCACAAAGAGAAUUUUAUGAAAAUAAAAAAACAUAAACAAUUCCCAAAUUUCAAUUUUCAAUUUUUUUUAUAAAUUGUUAUUAUAUAAUAUCAGUCCAAACUUCUAUCAAAUUUUUAGCAUUAUAUUUAUUCGUACCAUAAGGACAAAUCAACACGUUGGUACCAUCUUGGUUUUGUCCACGCUUAUUAUUAUUACUUCAAUGCCACUUGUCAAUAUUGUGAUUUAUUUAUGAAGAUAGUUUCUCUUUUCGGUAUGAGGCCCUACAUUUCCAACUUCUUCCGUUGAUCAUCUAGUUUAUCUUUUCAGGCUUAAAGACACAAAAAUCAAACACACUUCUAAAAUAAAAUCAGAUAAAUACAAGUAGAAAACCUUUUUUUUUAAAGAAGCUGGGGUUGCUCAAUGCCCUAGUUGAUCAUCUUGCAUGCCCCUUUUGUUUUAAAGUGUGUUUAUACCAU